GCGCCUGUAGCUCAACUGGAUAGAGCAUCAGCUUGCGGAGCUGGCGGUUGGGCGUUCAAAUCGCCCCAGGCGCA
RNAcentral lists this transfer RNA (74 nucleotides) under Candidatus Shapirobacteria bacterium. RNAcentral's name for it is "tRNA-Arg". It matches the Rfam family "tRNA". From Rfam's summary of the family: Transfer RNA (tRNA) molecules are approximately 80 nucleotides in length. Their secondary structure includes four short double-helical elements and three loops (D, anti-codon, and T loops). Lineage: Bacteria; Candidatus Shapironibacteriota. The record is from RNAcentral.